AACGCAUAUUGCGCUCAAGGCCUUUGGCCGAGAGCAUGUCUGCCUCAGCGUCGGGUUAAUACUCGCCUCCUCUAUUCAUAUUGAAUGGAAUGGGCGGAUCUGGCCGUUCCAGUGAUCUUAUGAGAGCUGGAUCAGCCGAAGAACAGAGGCUAACCAAGGACCCGUCAAGGGCCGCAACUGGGUGGGCAGCUCACGCUUGCUAAAUCAUCUUAGUUGUUGGUCUGGGACUUGAUUGUUCGGCCCAAAACAGGAACCCUUCUUAUUUUCUCGACCUGAGCUCAGGCAAGAACACCCGCUGAACUUAA
RNAcentral lists this unclassified non-coding RNA (305 nucleotides) under uncultured fungus. RNAcentral's name for it is "partial contains 5.8S ribosomal RNA, internal transcribed spacer 2, and large subunit ribosomal RNA". Lineage: Eukaryota; Fungi. The record is from RNAcentral.